AAUAAAUGAAAAUCUGUAGAUUCUCUCCUCCCCUGUCCCAAAAAACAAAGCAAAAUAAUGCUUUUUGAAAUUGUCUCUAGGAUUUUAAAGUGAAAAAAUGAUGGUACUAUCCAAAGUUCUUUAUUUCAGAAUCUGACAGUGGAUUCCUUUAACAUAGGCUCAAGAUCAAAACAGCAUACCCUCUAAGCUCAGACAGACUGUUGACUCCAAGGGUUUUGAUCAAUACCAUAACAAACCUUUUUCCUUUGACAUACUCUGGGUUUUGUUGUUUGAAUUACAGAAUAAUGUUAAUUGUUCUCAAAACUGGAUUUUCUUCAAAAUUAAAAAAUUUUUUUCUUUCGGAUUUAAUGAAGUAUUGCUAGCUGAAGCCAGUUUGACAUGGUGAGAGAGAUGUCAGACUGAUGAAAGGUGUGCAGCCUGAUUUAAAACCAAACCCUGAGCCCUUUUAAAGAACAAUAAAACAUAUUUUACAUGC
This 475-nucleotide long non-coding RNA is filed under the name Bos taurus (domestic cattle). Its description in RNAcentral is "long non-coding RNA NONBTAT011873". The record is from RNAcentral. Lineage: Eukaryota; Metazoa; Chordata; Mammalia; Artiodactyla; Bovidae.